This 84-nucleotide small nuclear RNA is filed under the name Canis lupus familiaris (dog). RNAcentral's name for it is "U4 spliceosomal RNA (ENSCAFG00030017028.1, ENSCAFG00805010993.1, ENSCAFG00845001016.1)". The stretch from base 1 to 69 matches the Rfam family "U4 spliceosomal RNA". Rfam says of the family: U4 small nuclear RNA (U4 snRNA) is a component of the major U2-dependent spliceosome. The structure of U4 snRNA from yeast and human has been reported. The record is from RNAcentral. Lineage: Eukaryota; Metazoa; Chordata; Mammalia; Carnivora; Canidae.
AGCUUUGCGCAGUGGCAGUAUCGUAGCCAAUGAGGUUUAUCCGAGGCGCGAUUAUUGCUAAUUGAAAGAAAGAAAGAGAAGAAA